This 68-nucleotide transfer RNA is filed under the name Coptosoma bifarium. RNAcentral describes it as "tRNA-Thr". The record is from RNAcentral. Lineage: Eukaryota; Metazoa; Arthropoda; Insecta; Hemiptera; Plataspidae.
GUUUUAAUAGUUUAAAUUAUAUAAAAUCAUGAUUUUGUAAAUCAUAGAUAAGAACAUCUUUUAAAACU